RNAcentral lists this ribosomal RNA (2538 nucleotides) under Triticum aestivum (bread wheat). RNAcentral's name for it is "partial small subunit ribosomal RNA". Lineage: Eukaryota; Viridiplantae; Streptophyta; Magnoliopsida; Poales; Poaceae. The record is from RNAcentral.
AUGCGCCACCUCGUCGCGGCGGCGAAACCAUCCCGGCGGCGGCAUUUCUUCUUCUCCUUAUCCCCCUACCACCAACUCUCCACCACGACCACCAGCGGCACCAAUUCCUCCCAUCUCUGCUCCUUCUACGACCCCGCGGCGCAGUUUCUCCCCUCCGGCUCUCCCCGGCACCUCUCCCUCCCCACCUCCCUCCGCCGCGACUCUCUCCUCGACCUCGCGCGCAUCCUCAAGUCCUCCCUGCAAUGCCACCUAGCUCUCCGCACCCUCACCUCCCAGACCCCCCCGCUCCAUGCCCGCUUCGCCGCCGCCUCCCGCCUCGCCAUCUUGUCCCCGGCGCUGCGCCCCUUCGCAUCCCUCCUCCUCGCCGCCCUCCUACCGGCCGCCUCCCCGCAUCUCCUCGCCUGGUGCGCCUCCCCCGGCGGCGCCCCGUACGCGGCCCUCCGCCUCGCGCUCCACGCCUUUAUCGCCGCCGGCAUGCCGGCUGAGGCGCUCGUCGUGCUCUCACGCAUCCGCAGCGUUGGGAAAACGCCCAGCCUCUCCGCGCUCGCGACGCUGCUGCGCCUGCUGUUCCGCGAGGGCAACGUCCAGGCCGCGUGGAAGGUGUUCGUGGAAAUGACAGCGAUGGGGCCACGGCCGAGCCUCCCCAUCUUCAACGCCAUGAUCCUAGGGUUAUGCCACAUGGGGCUCAUCCCUGUAGCUGCGGGAUUGCUUGGUGUCAUGUGGAAGUUCCAUGUUACCCCUGAUGCGUGCAGCUAUAACAUCCUGAUCAAGGGACAUUGUGUGUUUGGGCAGGCAGGGGAUGCUUUUGAGCUGCUUGAAAAAAUGCACAAGUCAGGGUGCGAGCCGACUGUUGUGACGUAUAACAUUUUGGUGAAUGUACGGUGCCGUGAUGGGAAUGUGGUGGAGGCAAGGAGGCUGUUCGAUGAGAUGGUGGCGGUGGGGGUCGAAGCAAAUACAAUCACCUUCAAUGUUUUAAUCGAUGGGUAUGCAAAGACUGGGCAGAUGGAUGAGGCUGAUGCCGCCUACAGAGAGAUGAGGGAGAGGGGAUUGCUGCCAGAUUGCUACACCUUCAACAUUCUUUCUGCUGGAGCAUACAAGUUUGGAAAGACCGCGCACUUAGCACAUGAGCAGCAGGAGCUGUAUGAAAUGUUUGGUUCACAGAUAUCAGCAGACAAUGUAGAUAUGACGAUCUGUAGGCUUUGUUGGGAUGGACGAUUGGAUGAUGCCCGGCAACUUGUGUGUUGUGCAAUCGAGCAGGGUGCUCCAGUGAGUGUUGCAGGUUUUAAUGCUUUGAUUGCUGCAUAUAGCAAGGAGGGAUUUGAAGAAGCAGCUCUUGAGUUAUAUAAGCUUAUGAAAGAGAUAGGCCUUGCACCCUUAUCCUCCACUUUCAAUUACUUGAUACUGGGUCUAUGCAAUCAAGGAAGACUAGAUGAUGCACAGCUUUUGCUAGAACAUAUGAUUAGUAAGGGAUAUUCUGUUGGUACCUCAUUUACCGUUUACAUGGAUUCAUGCUUCAGGUCUGGUAAUGUAGAAGGUGCCUUGAAAUGCUGGGAUGAUAUGCUGAAAGUUGGUGGGCAGCCUGAUUUUAUCGCUUUCUCUGCAUAUAUCAGUGGCCUUUGCAGAUUAGAUCAUGUAAAUGAGGCUUAUCGGGCAUUUGUGGAGAUGACAAGAAGAGGUCUUGUUCCGAACAAUAUUACUUACAACUCUCUGAUAUCUGCGUUUGUUAGGGUUGGCCAUGUGGCCGAAGCACUGCAACUAGAGCAGAAGAUGAGGCAGAGUGGUCUUGUUCCUGAUGUUUUCACAAGCAACAUUCUGAUUGAUGGUUUUUGCAGACAAGGAAGGCUGGAUAUGGUGAAUAACCGUUUCUUGGACAUGCGCAGUAGUGGCUUAACUCCUGAUGUAGUGACAUACAAUACAAUUAUUAAUGCAUAUUGCCGGGCCCAGGAUAUGAACGGUGCCAUGAUUUUCAUGAACAAGAUGCUUGCAGAUGGCUGUGAUCCAGAUAUUUUCACAUAUAAUAUUUGGAUUCAUAGCCUCUGCAACAACCAUUCGAUGAAUCGAGCAGCGAGAGUGCUGGAUGAACUUGUUGCUGUUGGUUUCACACCUAAUUCAGUUACAUACAACACACUGAUGGAUGGCAUUUGCAAUGAUGUCCUUGAUCGAGCUAUGAUUCUCACUGGUAAACUGAUUAAGAUGGCUUUUCAACCCAACACCAUCACAGUUAAUGUUUUCUUUUCUCAUUUCUGUAAGCAAGGUCUUGGAAGGCGAGCCCUUUUGUGGGCUGAGAAGCUCAGAGAAGAUUCUGUUGCUUUUGAUGAAGCUACAAUGAAUAUACUUGACUGGGCUUCCAAGGAGAUGGAGGAUGACCUCCAGGGUAGAGUUGCUGAUAUUGACAAAUGUAUGUUUCUCGAGUUCUUAAUGCUCAUAACGUACAACACUAUGAGCAAUAGUAGAUCCCCAAAGUUUAGACAUGUGCCUGUUGAGACAGUUAUUGAUCCUGCCAACAGCAAUACAAUCAAAGUUUUAGAUACUGGGUAA